RNAcentral lists this ribosomal RNA (751 nucleotides) under Paenarthrobacter sp. Its description in RNAcentral is "bacterial SSU rRNA". It matches the Rfam family "Bacterial small subunit ribosomal RNA", at positions 84 to 846 of the family's 1533-position model. Lineage: Bacteria; Bacillati; Actinomycetota; Actinomycetes; Micrococcales; Micrococcaceae. The record is from RNAcentral.
UGGGGGGAUUAGUGGCGAACGGGUGAGUAACACGUGAGUAACCUGCCCUUGACUCUGGGAUAAGCCUGGGAAACUGGGUCUAAUACCGGAUACGACCAUCUGGCGCAUGUCAUGGUGGUGGAAAGCUUUUGUGGUUUUGGAUGGACUCGCGGCCUAUCAGCUUGUUGGUGGGGUAAUGGCCUACCAAGGCGACGACGGGUAGCCGGCCUGAGAGGGUGACCGGCCACACUGGGACUGAGACACGGCCCAGACUCCUACGGGAGGCAGCAGUGGGGAAUAUUGCACAAUGGGCGCAAGCCUGAUGCAGCGACGCCGCGUGAGGGAUGACGGCCUUCGGGUUGUAAACCUCUUUCAGUAGGGAAGAAGCGAAAGUGACGGUACCUGCAGAAGAAGCGCCGGCUAACUACGUGCCAGCAGCCGCGGUAAUACGUAGGGCGCAAGCGUUAUCCGGAAUUAUUGGGCGUAAAGAGCUCGUAGGCGGUUUGUCGCGUCUGCUGUGAAAGACCGGGGCUCAACUCCGGUUCUGCAGUGGGUACGGGCAGACUAGAGUGCAGUAGGGGAGACUGGAAUUCCUGGUGUAGCGGUGAAAUGCGCAGAUAUCAGGAGGAACACCGAUGGCGAAGGCAGGUCUCUGGGCUGUAACUGACGCUGAGGAGCGAAAGCAUGGGGAGCGAACAGGAUUAGAUACCCUGGUAGUCCAUGCCGUAAACGUUGGGCACUAGGUGUGGGGGACAUUCCACGUUUUCCGCGC